GACGAACGCUGGCGGCGUGCCUAAUACAUGCAAGUCGAACGAGUGGCGGACGGGUGAGUAAUGUAUGGGGAUCUGCCCGAUAGAGGGGGAUAACUACUGGAAACGGUGGCUAAUACCGCAUACUAUCGGAUGAACCCAUAUGGGAUUAGCUAGUAGGUGGGGUAAAGGCUCACCUAGGCGACGAUCUCUAGCUGGUCUGAGAGGAUGAUCAGCCACACUGGGACUGAGACACGGCCCAGACUCCUACGGGAGGCAGCAGUGGGGAAUAUUGCACAAUGGGCGCAAGCCUGAUGCAGCCAUGCCGCGUGUAUGAAGAAGGCCUUAGGGUUGUAAAGUACUUUCAGCGGGGAGGCGUUACCCGCAGAAGAAGCACCGGCUAACUCCGUGCCAGCAGCCGCGGUAAUAC
RNAcentral lists this ribosomal RNA (406 nucleotides) under uncultured bacterium. Its description in RNAcentral is "partial 16S ribosomal RNA". It matches the Rfam family "Bacterial small subunit ribosomal RNA", at positions 28 to 526 of the family's 1533-position model. The record is from RNAcentral.